AUAUUAUCAACAACAUUUCAAAUGUGGUAGUUCCUGCGAAUUUGUUUGCGCCAUUUCAGUUUUUGCCACAAUUAUCACAGUAAUUUUUAAAAUUAAUAAAUCUUAGGAGAAAAACAAAUAACAAAAUUUUAUUGGGGAAAGCUAAAUACACAAACAGUCUUGGGGCAUAAUUGGUUAUUUUUCAAAACGGCAUGGCUGCAACUAUUUUUAUUAAAUAUGUGCAAAAUAUUAGUGUUUUAAAUAACAUUCGUUAUUGUGCAUUAGGUAUAGCAAUAACCUGGGGGUGUGCGUUUAAUAAAUACAAUCAAAACAAAAGUCUUCGGGAGGGUGUUUCAAUUACAGUUAGAAGCUUUAAUGUUUAGGUUAAAUGUUGAUUGUAAUAAUAAGCGCGACAAGCACAAUUUGUUUGCCCCUUUUCUAACGCAUUUGAAAAAAUACCCACGGAAUUAAUGACGUUGAGAUAAAAAUAGUUAAUUACCAUGUCACCAGCAUGGCGAUUACCGGUGAAUUAAUAGCAAAGCAAAAAGCAAAGUCCUAAAAACAAUGACAACAACUAACGCAAUCGGAUUUUGCCAUGCGGAGCCUCGUAAUGCCCAACCGGGCAUGUGAAACGCGUGGCAAGGUAAAUGACAUGCCACCAACACAAACACACGCGAGUUUAAAUAUAAUAUAAAGCAAACACACACACAUACACACCUACAAUGACAGACAGGUCGACCAUAUGUUUUAAUGCAUUGUUCGAGCCAACAACAAGAGCAAAAGUCGCAUUACCGAAAAUGUGCGCAUUCACGCAGUAAAUCAAUAAAGUGCCGUGAAUUACAAAUACCAACUUCAACGCAGCGCCAGCAUCAGCAGUAACAACAACAACACACAUAUCGCACAGCAGGUGAAAUGAGAAACGCCAAACAAACGGAAAGGUUCGGGAAAAAACAGAGUGCAAGGAAACGCACAAAAAAUCGACGACGAAUACAAAUGUUUCACUUGUGUUUGUUGCUGAGAAAAAUGUUGAUGGGCAGCGAAAAUGCGUCAAACAAAAGACUUAAGCAACGAACUUGCUAGGGAAUUCGCAUGCGAAUCAAACAAAGUGUACACCAAAGCGCGCUCUCAAAUGUGUGUGUGUUUGAGUCUUUGUAACGCAUAGAAAGUUACUGCAAGAAAAACAACAACAAAUAAUAAACAAUGAAAAUAAAAAGCGCGCUGGCGUAGAGAAAGACCUUCUUUUCAUUGCAGCCUCUUGUCGCGGUCGCCACUCAUUCAUAAUUUCACAACCGGCCAUGGCUUUGUGUGCACCUAUGUGUGUUAAUGUGCGCGCGCGUUUAUUAGUAGCGACAUUAAAUUACAUCGUUACCAUUCAGUAUUUCUCAAGCACUAAUUGUUUAAUCAAAAACUACCAAGAUUAGAUUAGAAAAAGAAAAAAACAAAAAGGCGCUCCACAGUGUUGCGAUGCCACCUGCCAUGCUAUUCAGACAACGCAGAGAAAAGCAAAUUCAACAGCAACUUAGACUGAGUUUUGAAACGGCAGCAGACUCUCACAGCCAAAAAAGCGGUGGCCAAAGUGGUUUUAUGUGUGCGAGAUAUGUCUGCCAGCGGCUGACUGGUUGUACUAAAGAAAUGAGCGCUAGAUGAUGCCACAACGGCGCUUGGAGGUUGGCGAGUAGUUCAGUUCGCGAGUGACUUUCAUAGUGUAAACGACGGCAGCGGGUUCUUCGGCAGCAAGGCAAGUGCGAUUUUUUUUAUUGUUGUAUUGUGUUAUCCAGUUUCCAGUGUUUGUUUUAUUUUACUUGGUUGCUACUCGACUCGACUUUGUUGCAAGCAACACGCUUACUUGCAGUAUUCGUUAUCACGGCGUUGUUAUUGUUGCAGUGAUUUGAUAUUUACGGUGCGACGAGUGUUUAAAGGCACGGAGUCACACUAAAGUUUACUUGUUUGUCUACAUUUUUUCAACUUCGCCUCGCUUACGGACAAGCGGCUUUCGUGUCAAAGAGAUAUAAAAUAAGAAUAACACACAUAUAUACAUAUGUACUUUUGUGUGUGUUCGUAGAAGUGUAGAAAAUAAAGAUGCAGCGAAAAUAGUACCAAGAGAACUAGAAUUGAAAAAAAUUUACAUAAAACGCAACGGGUGCAAGAAGGAGGAGAAAAACGGGACAGUAGUGGAAAGCAUGAAUAAUUCUUGUGUAAUUAAAGAAGCGCAAGAAAAUCAGGUGGUGUUCAAGUAUAUGGAGUGCAAGUGUUAAAAGCAAACCACAAGAAAGUACAACGAACAGCCACAAACCAACACUGCUGUAAAGCCUUCAGAUUAAGAAAUGCAAACACAGAGUAUAUAAAUGAGUAUUUAUUUAUAAACAGCAAAAGAAAGUCAAAUAGAAAAAAAGAUAAUUUAGAGCGAACAUUCCAAAGCAGUAACCUUCUAGCGUUACAGCAUCGUAGGGGGAAAAGAGACUGUGCUUGUAAGUAUAAGAUAUAACGGACUCUAAGAAGGCACAAACUGCUUGCAAAUAAUGAUAAAUACUCAUACAUACUUACAUGCUUCUAUUAUAAUUUUGUGAAAAAUUGCACUCAAUAUAUGGUAAAGCAAUAAAAGUCGCAUACAAAUGUUUAUAAAAGACUUAAGACACGAACUUGAAAAGCACUAAUUGACAUUAAUAAGUUAUUUGCAAAUGUUUAAGUAGAGAGAAAUUUCAGUUUAACAAAUUUUAAUUUCAAAGAGAAAAAGUUAAAAUAGUUAACAAUAAGAUAUUUGACAAUAUUUCAAAAUUAUCCCUAAAAAGGAAAAACAAAUCUACACAA
Non-coding RNA from Bactrocera oleae (olive fruit fly), 2787 nucleotides. The record is from RefSeq and is a predicted model, not a curated record. Lineage: Eukaryota; Metazoa; Arthropoda; Insecta; Diptera; Tephritidae.